This 253-nucleotide unclassified non-coding RNA is filed under the name uncultured Solirubrobacterales bacterium. Its description in RNAcentral is "contains 16S-23S intergenic spacer region". It matches the Rfam family "Bacterial small subunit ribosomal RNA", at positions 524 to 776 of the family's 1533-position model. Lineage: Bacteria; Bacillati; Actinomycetota; Thermoleophilia; Solirubrobacterales. The record is from RNAcentral.
UACGUAGGGGGCAAGCGUUGUCCGGAAUCAUUGGGCGUAAAGCGCACGUAGGCGGCCCGAUAAGUCCGCUGUGAAAGUCAACGGCUCAACCGUUGAAUGCCGGUGGAUACUGUCGGGCUAGAGUUCGGAAGAGGCAAGUGGAAUUCCUGGUGUAGCGGUGGAAUGCGCAGAUAUCAGGAGGAACACCAAUAGCGAAGGCAGCUUGCUGGGACGAUACUGACGCUAAGGUGCGAAAGCGUGGGGAGCGAACAGG